UUAGAUGUCCGGGGCCGCACGCGCGCCACACUGAAGGAAUCAGCGUGUGCUUUCCCUGUCCGGUAGGACUGGGUAACCCGUUGAACCUCCUUCGUGAUAGGGAUAGGGGCUUGUAACUGUUCCCCUUGAACGAGGAAUGCCCAGUAAGCGCGAGUCAUAAGCUCGUGUUGAUUACGUCCCUGCCCUUUGUACACACCGCCCGUCGCUACUACCGAUUGAAUGAUUUAGUGAGGUCUUCGGACUGGCGCUCGGAGCGGCCUCGGGCCGGGCCGUUGUGCCGGAAAGAUGACCGAACUUGAUCAUUUAGAGGAAGUAAAAGUCGUAACAAGGUUUCC
RNAcentral lists this ribosomal RNA (335 nucleotides) under Belisana ranong. RNAcentral's name for it is "SSU rRNA". It matches the Rfam family "Eukaryotic small subunit ribosomal RNA", at positions 1473 to 1804 of the family's 1831-position model. Lineage: Eukaryota; Metazoa; Arthropoda; Arachnida; Araneae; Pholcidae. The record is from RNAcentral.